This 268-nucleotide ribosomal RNA is filed under the name uncultured bacterium. RNAcentral's name for it is "partial 16S ribosomal RNA". It matches the Rfam family "Bacterial small subunit ribosomal RNA", at positions 123 to 406 of the family's 1533-position model. The record is from RNAcentral.
AACCUGCCUUUAGGACGGGGACAACAGUUGGAAACGGCUGCUAAAACCCGAUGUGCCCUUCGGGGUGAAAUAUUUAUAGCCUGAAGAUGAGCUCGCGUCUGAUUAGCUAGUAGGUGAGGUAAAGGCUCACCUAGGCGACGAUCAGUAACUGGUCUGAGAGGAUGACCAGUCACACUGGGACUGAGACACGGCCCAGACUCCUACGGGAGGCAGCAGUGGGGAAUUUUCCGCAAUGGGCGCAAGCCUGACGGAGCAAUACCGCGUGAGG